Molecule: ribosomal RNA, 396 nt
Filed under: Tremula sp.
Lineage: Eukaryota; Cercozoa; Skiomonadea; Tremulida
Description: partial small subunit ribosomal RNA
Rfam family: Eukaryotic small subunit ribosomal RNA
Source: RNAcentral
AGCUCCAGUAGCGUAUAUUAAAGUUGCUGCAGUUAAAAAGCUCGUAGUUGAAUUUCUGAUCAUAUGAACUUAAUCCGCCCCGUUUAGGUGUGUGAGUAUUAAUUGUUUGUUGAUCAUCCUUAGAGUACAUUUAUCUACCAUUUAUUUGGCCGGGUAAUAUGGACUCUAUCAUUUACUUUGAAAAAAUUAGAGUGUUCAAGGCAGGCAUUAUCGCUGUGAAUACAUUAGCAUGGAAUAAUAAGAUAGGACUUUGGUACUAUUUUGUUGGUUUUCAGCACUGAAGUAAUGAUUGAUAGGGACAGUUGGGGGCGCUACUAUUCAAUGGCCAGAGGUGAAAUUCUUGGAUUCAUUGAAGAGUAACUGAUGCGAAAGCGUUCGCCAAGGAUGUCUCUUUCA